This 468-nucleotide ribosomal RNA is filed under the name uncultured bacterium. RNAcentral's name for it is "partial 16S ribosomal RNA". It matches the Rfam family "Bacterial small subunit ribosomal RNA", at positions 28 to 507 of the family's 1533-position model. The record is from RNAcentral.
GACGAACGCUGGCGGCGUGCUUAACACAUGCAAGUCGAACGGAAAGGCCCUGCUUUUGUGGGGUGCUCGAGUGGCGAACGGGUGAGUAACACGUGAGUAACCUGCCCUUGACUUCGGGAUAACUUCAGGAAACUGGGGCUAAUACCGGAUAGGAGCUCCUGCUGCAUGGUGGGGGUUGGAAAGUUUCGGCGGUUGGGGAUGGACUCGCGGCUUAUCAGCUUGUUGGUGGGGUAGUGGCUUACCAAGGCUUUGACGGGUAGCCGGCCUGAGAGGGUGACCGGCCACAUUGGGACUGAGAUACGGCCCAGACUCCCACGGGAGGCAGCAGUGGGGAAUAUUGCACAAUGGGCGGAAGCCUGAUGCAGCAACGCCGCGUGCGGGAUGACGGCCUUCGGGUUGUAAACCGCUUUCGCCUGUGACGAAGCGUGAGUGACGGUAAUGGGUAAAGAAGCACCGGCUAACUACGUG